This 253-nucleotide ribosomal RNA is filed under the name uncultured bacterium. RNAcentral describes it as "partial 16S ribosomal RNA". It matches the Rfam family "Bacterial small subunit ribosomal RNA", at positions 524 to 776 of the family's 1533-position model. The record is from RNAcentral.
UACGUAGGGUGCGAGCGUUAUUCGGAAUUACUGGGCGUAAAGCGUGCGCAGGUGGCUGAGCAAGUCGAGUGUGAAAUCCCCGGGCUUAACUUGGGAAUUGCGCUCGAAACUACUUGGCUCGAGUGUGGCAGAGGAAGGUGGAAUUCCAGGUGUAGCGGUGAAAUGCGUAGAUAUCUGGAGGAACACCGGUGGCGAAGGCGGCGUUCUGGACUGCAACUGACACUGAUAAACGAAAGCCAGGGUAGCAAACGGG